Cydia strobilella is the source of this 488-nucleotide long non-coding RNA. RefSeq lists it as uncharacterized. The transcript has 2 exons. Lineage: Eukaryota; Metazoa; Arthropoda; Insecta; Lepidoptera; Tortricidae. The record is from RefSeq and is a predicted model, not a curated record.
AAAUCUAAUCCUUCGCAUGCAGAUUUAAUGUGUUGUGUAUACUCUACCCAGUUGGCUUUUUUGAUGUUUCUUUUUAAUUCGGGACUAAUUUGAGUACUCUCUAACGUUUUAAUAGAAAUAAUAAGGUGGUCACUGCCAAAAGAUUCGUUAGUGACAUUCCAAUCAAAGUCGAGUGAGAGAUCAGCACUACAAAAAGAGACAUCAGGUGAUGUGCAUACUAUACUAUUAUUAAGCUGGGCACAACGGGUAAAGUCUCCAUUGUUAAGAAAUACGUAGUUAUGUUCUAAGCUAGUGUCCGAUAAAAGCCUACCCCGUGUGUCAGUUGUGUAUGACCAAGCCGUGUGAUGAGCAUUAAAAUUUGUUCCUGAGUCAUGGAUGUUUUCUAUGUAUUUAUGUAUUUGUAUAUUAUAUAUAUCGUUGUCUGAGUACCCACAACACAAGCCUUAUUGAGCUUACUGUGGGACUUAGUCAAUUUGUGUAAAAAUGUC